This 104-nucleotide non-coding RNA is filed under the name Chloroflexota bacterium. RNAcentral describes it as "Chloroflexi bacterium TPP sequence". It matches the Rfam family "TPP riboswitch aptamer (THI element)". From Rfam's summary of the family: Vitamin B(1) in its active form thiamin pyrophosphate (TPP) is an essential coenzyme that is synthesised by coupling of pyrimidine and thiazole moieties in bacteria. The record is from RNAcentral. Lineage: Bacteria; Bacillati; Chloroflexota.
CAAGGCCGCCAGGGGUGCUCAGGCUGAGAGUCCCGACCGUGUCGGGACAACCCUCGGAACCUGCUCUCGAUAAUUCGAGCGGAGGGAAGCGCGGAAACUCAGAC